CUGUCGGCGUGCCUAAUACAUGCAAGUAGAACGCUGAAGACUUUAUCUUGCUAAAGGUGGAAGAGUUGCGAACGGGUGAGUAACGCGUAUGUAACCUGCCUACUAUUCGGGGGAUAUCUAUUGGAAACGAUAUCUAAUACCGCAUAACACCCUUGAACCCAUGUGAGAUGCUUGAAAGGACCAAUUGCUUCACUAGUAUAUGGACCUGCGUUGUAUUAGCUAGUUGGUGAGGUAACGGCUCACCAAGGCGACAAUCCAUAUCCGACCUGAAAGGGUGAUCGGCCACACUGGAACUGACACACAGCCCAAACUCCUACGGGAGGCAGCAAUAUGGAAUCUUCGGCAAUGGGGGCAACCCUGACCGACCAACGCCGCGUGACUGAAUAAGGUUUUCGGAUCGUAAAGCUCUGUUGCAAGACAAGAACGAGUGUGAGAGUGGAAAGUUCACACAGUGACGGUAACUUACCAGAAAGGGACGGCUAACUACGUGCCAGCAGCCGCGGUAAUACGUAGGUCCCGAGCGUUGUCCGGAUUUAUUGGGCGUAAAGCGAGCGCACGCGGUUUAAUAACUCUGAAGUUAAAGGCAGAGGCUUAGCCAUUGUUCGCUUUGGAAACUGUUAAACUUGAGUGCAGAAGGGGAGAGUGGAAUUCCUUGUGUAGCGCUGAAAUGCGUAAAUGUAUGUAUGAACACCUGCGGCGAAAGCGACUCUCUGGUCUGUAACUGACGCUGAGGCUCGAAAGCGUGAGGAGCAAACAGGAUUAGAUACCCUGGUAGUCCACGCCGUAAGUGAUGAGUGCUAGGUGUGUGCCCCUCUCCGGGGCUUAGUGCUGCAGCUAACGCAUUAAGCACUCCGCGUGGAGAGUACGAGCGCAAGGUUGAAUCUCAAAGGAAUUGACGGGGGCCCGCACAAGCGGGGGAGCAUGUGGUUUAAUUAGAAGCAACGUGAAGAACCUUAUCAGGUCUUGACAUAUCCGAUGCUAUUCCUAGAGAUAGGAAGUUUCUUGGGAACAUUGGUGACAGGUGGUGCAUGGUUGUUGUCAGCUCGUGUCGUGAGAUGUUGGGUUAAGUCCCGCAACGAGCGCAACCCCUAUUGUUAGUUCCCAUCAUUAAGUUGGGCACUCUAGCGAGACUGCCGGUAAUAAAUCGGAGGAAGGUGGGGAUGACGUCAAAUCAUCAUGCCCCUUAUGUCCUGGGCUUCACACGUGCUACAAUGGUUGGUACAGCGAGUCGCGAGUCGGUGACGGCAAGCAAAUCUCUUAAAGCCAAUCUCAGUUCGGAUUGUAGUCUGCAACUCGCCUUCAUGAAGUCGGAAUCGCUAGUAAUCGCGGAUCAGCACGCCGCGGUGAAUUCGUUUCCGGGCCUUGUUCCCCCCCCCCGUCCCACCCCGAGAGUUUGUAACCCCCGAAGUCGGUGAGGUAACCUUUUAGGAGCCAGCCGCCUAAGGUGGGAUAGAUGAUUGGGGUGAAGU
Molecule: ribosomal RNA, 1469 nt
Filed under: uncultured organism
Description: SSU rRNA
Rfam family: Bacterial small subunit ribosomal RNA
Source: RNAcentral